Macaca fascicularis (crab-eating macaque) is the source of this 148-nucleotide unclassified non-coding RNA. It matches the Rfam family "Metazoan signal recognition particle RNA". Rfam says of the family: The signal recognition particle (SRP) is a universally conserved ribonucleoprotein. It is involved in the co-translational targeting of proteins to membranes. The record is from Ensembl. NCBI's taxonomy places the organism in Eukaryota, Metazoa, Chordata, Mammalia, Primates, Cercopithecidae.
GCUGGGCAUGGUGGUGCAUGCCUGUAAUCCCAGCUACUUGGGAGGCUGAGGCAGGAGAAUCGCUUGAACCCAGGAGGCAGAGGUUACAGUGAGCCGAGACCGCGCCACUGCACUCCAGCCUGGGCAACAGAGUGAGACUCCGUCUCAA